UGGGGAAUAUUGCACAAUGGGCGCAAGCCUGGUGCAGCCAUGCCGCGUGUGUGAAGAAGGCCUUCGGGUUGUAAAGCACUUUCAGCGGGGAGGAAGGCGAUAAGGUUAAUAACCUUGUCGAUUGACGUUACCCGCAGAAGAAGCACCGGCUAACUCCGUGCCAGCAGCCGCGGUAAUACGGAGGGUGCAAGCGUUAAUCGGAAUUACUGGGCGUAAAGCGCACGCAGGCGGUCUGUCAAGUCGGAUGUGAAAUCCCCGGGCUUAACCUGGGAACUGCAUUCGAAACUGGCAGGCUAGAGUCUUGUAGAGGGGGGUAGAAUUCCAGGUGUAGCGGUGAAAUGCGUAGAGAUCUGGAGGAAUACCGGUGGCGAAGGCGGCCCCCUGGACGAAGACUGACGCUCAGGUGCGAAAGCGUGGGGAGCAAACAGG
RNAcentral lists this ribosomal RNA (429 nucleotides) under Chloroflexota bacterium. RNAcentral describes it as "Chloroflexi bacterium partial 16S ribosomal RNA". It matches the Rfam family "Bacterial small subunit ribosomal RNA", at positions 355 to 776 of the family's 1533-position model. Lineage: Bacteria; Bacillati; Chloroflexota. The record is from RNAcentral.